Long non-coding RNA from Dermacentor silvarum, 439 nucleotides. RefSeq lists it as uncharacterized. Lineage: Eukaryota; Metazoa; Arthropoda; Arachnida; Ixodida; Ixodidae. The record is from RefSeq and is a predicted model, not a curated record. The transcript has 3 exons.
AGUGACGUUCCCCGUAAUUGCUUUCAGAAAAUUUUAACACCGUGUUUUGCUUUUUUUUUACUUAUCGCACUGCGAAUCGAGAAAUUGCUGUCUGACGUGCUGGCCGACUCAAAUAAAAGGCUGAGUUCUGCAAGGCUGUUUCAGUCGGUGUCCAUUGUUCAAUCUCCUCCUGUUGUGCUGCUCUGCUCGCAGAAAAGGCAAAGAUGGUAAACAAUCAAGGAGUCUUCAUUGUGCUUUCUCUUCUCCUUGUUCUCUUCGUCACCGCGGAUGGAGCAUCUCUGGGUCUGUUAUUGGAAUCAAUGAAGCAGCAGGGGCGCCUUGACGUUGAGCCGACAGCGGACGCAUGAAGGCCAGAACAAAAACUGACAACCCGAGUUCAUAAUAUUUGGUAAACCUCGGUACACAAUAGAUGAAAAGCCUAAUAAAGAGUAGCUUCAAA